GACGAACGCUGGCGGCGUGCUUAACACAUGCAAGUCGAACGGUGAUGCUCCAGCUUGCUGGAGUGGAUCAGUGGCGAACGGGUGAGUAACACGUGAGCAACCUGCCCCAGACUCUGGAAUAAGCGCUGGAAACGGCGUCUAAUACUGGAUACGAAACUGGCCCGCAUGGGCAUGGUUUGGAAAGUUUUUCUGUUUGGGAUGGGCUCGCGGCCUAUCAGCUUGUUGGUGAGGUAAUGGCUCACCAAGGCGACGACGGGUAGCCGGCCUGAGAGGGCGACCGGCCACACUGGGACUGAGGCACGGCCCAGACUCCUACGGGAGGCAGCAGUGGGGAAUAUUGCACAAUGGGCGCAAGCCUGAUGCAGCGACGCCGCGUGAGGGAUGACGGCCUUCGGGUUGUAAACCUCUUUCAGCAGGGAAGAAGCGAAAGUGACGGUACCUGCAGAAGAAGCACCGGCUAACUACGUG
RNAcentral lists this ribosomal RNA (468 nucleotides) under uncultured bacterium. RNAcentral describes it as "partial 16S ribosomal RNA". It matches the Rfam family "Bacterial small subunit ribosomal RNA", at positions 28 to 507 of the family's 1533-position model. The record is from RNAcentral.